GACGAAUGUUGGCGGCGUGCUUAACACAUGCAAGUCGAACGGACUGGCCCUGCUCUUGUGGGGUGCUCGAGUGGCGAAAGGGUGAGUAACACGUGAGUAACCUGCCCUUGACUUUGGGUAAACUUCAGGAAACCGGGGCCAAUACCGGAUAGGUGCUCCUGCUGCAUGGAGGGGGUUGGAAAGUUUCGGCGGCUGGGGAUGGACCCGCGGCUUAUCAGCUUGUUGGUGGUGUAGUGGCUUACCAACGCUUUGACGGGUAGCCGGCCUGAGAGGGUGACCGGCCACAGUGGGGCUGGAAGACGUGCCAUACUCCUUCGGGGGGCAGCAGUGGGUAGUUUUGCACAGUGGGCGGAAGCCUGAUGCAGCAACGCCGCGUGCGGGAUGACGGCCUUCGGGUUGUAUACCGCUUUCGCCUGUGACGAAGCAGAAGAGGCGGGAAUGUGUAGAGGAGGACCGGCUAGCUAAGUG
RNAcentral lists this ribosomal RNA (468 nucleotides) under uncultured bacterium. RNAcentral's name for it is "partial 16S ribosomal RNA". It matches the Rfam family "Bacterial small subunit ribosomal RNA", at positions 28 to 507 of the family's 1533-position model. The record is from RNAcentral.